AUUGAACGCUGGCGGCAGGCCUAACACAUGCAAGUCGAGCGGUAGAGAGGUGCUUGCACCUCUUGAGAGCGGCGGACGGGUGAGUAAUGCCUAGGAAUCUGCCUGGUAGUGGGGGAUAACGCUCGGAAACGGACGCUAAUACCGCAUACGUCCUACGGGAGAAAGCAGGGGACCUUCGGGCCUUGCGCCAUCAGAUGAGC
RNAcentral lists this ribosomal RNA (200 nucleotides) under uncultured bacterium. RNAcentral's name for it is "partial 16S ribosomal RNA". It matches the Rfam family "Bacterial small subunit ribosomal RNA", at positions 30 to 230 of the family's 1533-position model. The record is from RNAcentral.